Long non-coding RNA from Oncorhynchus keta (chum salmon), 189 nucleotides. RefSeq lists it as uncharacterized. NCBI's taxonomy places the organism in Eukaryota, Metazoa, Chordata, Actinopteri, Salmoniformes, Salmonidae. The record is from RefSeq and is a predicted model, not a curated record. The transcript is spliced from 2 exons.
UUGAAACUGGAGCAGCAGCAUGGCCAGGUGGACUGGGGACAGCAAGGAGUCAUCAUGUCAGGUAGUCCUGGGGCAUGGUCCUAGGGCUCAGGUCCUCCGAGAGAGAGAAAGAAAGAAGGAGAGAAUUAGAGAACGCACACUUAGAUUCACACAGGACACCGAAUUAGGACAGGAGAAGUACUCCAGAUA